AGUGAACGCUGGCGGUAGGCCUAACACAUGCAAGUCGAACGGCAGCACAGUAAGAGCUUGCUCUUACGGGUGGCGAGUGGCGGACGGGUGAGGAAUACAUCGGAAUCUACUUUUUCGUGGGGGAUAACGUAGGGAAACUUACGCUAAUACCGCAUACGACCUACGGGUGAAAGCAGGGGAUCUUCGGACCUUGCGCAAUUGAAUGAGCCGAUGUCGGAUUAGCUAGUUGGCGGGGUAAAGGCCCACCAAGGCGACGAUCCGUAGCUGGUCUGAGAGGAUAAUCAGCCACACUGGAACUGAGACACGGUCCAGACUCCUACGGGAGGCAGCAGUGGGGAAUAUUGGACAAUGGGCGCAAGCCUGAUCCAGCCAUACCGCGUGGGUGAAGAAGGCCUUCGGGUUGUAAAGCCCUUUUGUUGGGAAAGAAAAGCAGCAGGUUAAUACCCCGCUGUUCUGACGGUACCCAAAGAAUAAGCACCGGCUAACUUCGUG
This 492-nucleotide ribosomal RNA is filed under the name uncultured bacterium. RNAcentral's name for it is "partial 16S ribosomal RNA". It matches the Rfam family "Bacterial small subunit ribosomal RNA", at positions 29 to 507 of the family's 1533-position model. The record is from RNAcentral.